This 261-nucleotide unclassified non-coding RNA is filed under the name uncultured Gemmatimonadaceae bacterium. Its description in RNAcentral is "contains 16S-23S intergenic spacer region". The record is from RNAcentral. Lineage: Bacteria; Pseudomonadati; Gemmatimonadota; Gemmatimonadia; Gemmatimonadales; Gemmatimonadaceae.
UCCCCGUUCUCCUGGGCAGUCUCUCCGAAGAGGGGCUCUCGUUUCUGAGAGCUUGCUCGUGCAUGUCAAGCCUAGGUAAGGUUCUUCGCGUUGCGUCGAAUUAAACCACAUGCUCCACCGCUUGUGCGGGCCCCCGUCAAUUCCUUUGAGUUUCAACCUUGCGGUCGUACUCCCCAGGCGGGGUACUUCCUGCGUUAGCGCCGGCACCCAGAGGGUCGCUCCCCCAGGCACCUAGUACCCAUCGUUUACGGCGUGGACUAC